UUUAAGCUUCCUACGGGAGGCUGCAGUGGGGAAUCUUGCGCAUUGGGCGAAAGCCUGACGCAGCCAUGCCGCGUGAAUGAUGAAGGUCUUAGGAUUGUAAAAUUCUUUCACCGGGGACGAUAAUGACGGUACCCGGAGAAGAAGCCCCGGCUAACUUCGUGCCAGCAGCCGCGGUAAUACGAAGGGGGCUAGCGUUGCUCGGAAUUACUGGGCGUAAAGGGAGCGUAGGCGGACAUUUAAGUCAGGGGUGAAAUCCCGGGGCUCAACCUCGGAAUUGCCUUUGAUACUGGGUGUCUUGAGUAUGAGAGAGGUGUGUGGAACUCCGAGUGUAGAGGUGAAAUUCGUAGAUAUUCGGAAGAACACCAGUGGCGAAGGCGACACACUGGCUCAUUACUGACGCUGAGGCUCGAAAGCGUGGGGAGCAAACAGGAUUAGAUACCCUUGUAGUCGAAUUCUU
Molecule: ribosomal RNA, 457 nt
Filed under: uncultured bacterium
Lineage: Bacteria
Description: bacterial SSU rRNA
Rfam family: Bacterial small subunit ribosomal RNA
Source: RNAcentral